Molecule: ribosomal RNA, 206 nt
Filed under: uncultured bacterium
Lineage: Bacteria
Description: partial 16S ribosomal RNA
Rfam family: Bacterial small subunit ribosomal RNA
Source: RNAcentral
GACAGAGGGUGCAAACGUUGUUCGGAAUUACUGGGCGUAAAGCGCGUGUAGGCGGCUAAGUAAGUCGGGCGUGAAAUCCCUAGGCUCAACCUAGGAACUGCACUCGAAACUACCAUUCUUGAGUGUCGGAGAGGAAAGCGGAAUUCCUGGUGUAGAGGUGAAAAUUCGUAGAUAUCAGGAGGAACACCAGUGGCGAAGGCGGCUUU